CAGUUGCCAAGUUUUUCUGCAAGUGAGAUUUACCUGGAACAGCACUGUUGAAAUCAUCAUGUCCUAAUUGAGAGUUACUGAAUACGACAAUGAAGCCAGAGUCAAACUAAGCCUGAAAGUACAAUAUACUGAUGCUGAACAUAAAACAAGCCAGACAAGAUGUUGACUGUUGCUGAAGCAGGACGGGGAGUCUUGGUUGCUUCCUAACAUUCUUUAAUUUGUGUGUGCCUGCCGUUUUCCUACAUGGAGGAUGGAGGGUCGGUUCUGGCUGGAUGGACGAUGGUCUUCGUAUGCCCAGUAUAUGUGGAUGAGGCCAGGUCCCGAAGCUAGCUGGGAAAGCUAGACCAGCAAUCUCAAGACUUAGCGCUUCCUUCCCUCUUAGAGUCUCAGUUCCCUGAAGGUGCCUUCCCGUUUCUCACAGCCAUGGUGCACCCCUCUUCUGACCUGAGACACAGCCUUGCUGGUCUGCAUCUUAGCACAGAGGAAAGAGGGAAAACCUGCCAGAGGGUGAUCAGGGGAUAACUGGGGAUUUUUGAUCUGAUCACCAUACACCUACGUGGUAUACAGACUCAACCUUCCCAAGAGAACUAAUUUGUUGAAUCUUUAGAGAUGGUGGUUAUACUCACUCAACCAUUUUGAUUCAAUAUUAUGCUUCUGCAAGGCAUCACAGUUAAGUAAAUAUGCACACGUGUGUGUCAGUGUGACUGCAUGCCGCUUGUGUGGGAGGGCUUAUGGAGGCCUGACGGUGAUGCUAGGAACUAAACUCAGGUCCUCUGGAAGAGAUGCAAUCCCUCCAGCCUACAGUGCAUCUCUAAUUUUUCACUUCGCUUUACGAAUAUAAUUAGCCAGGUGUGACAAUACACGCCUUUAAUCCUAGCACCUGGGACUUGAUUCAAGAUGGUGGCAGUUGCUGGCAUCUGAGGGCUUUGGGAGCCCCUUUAGGGAUCCUGAGAGACCCAAGGAAGCUUAGAGUGGAGAUGCAGAUGAACCCCCAGAGCGCACUGCAUCUCCAGAAUAACUUAAAAAAAAAAAAAAAAAAAAAAAAAAAAAGGCAGGUUUUGUUGGAAGAUGCUUUUUAAAAGUAGUUUCAUAUAACUGGGGGAAAAAUAAAAGAUGGCAGAACAGAGUCCCCCGCAGCAGAGAAAAGCACAAGCAGGAAGAAAGGAAGCAGUGAUAGGUAUGGGAGCAUGGGACACACAAAGAAGCAUGUUCUUAUGGAAUGGGGCUUGUCCACGGGAUGACAGGAGCCUCGAGACCCAUUAUGAAGCCGCAGCUGCUGCCGCUUAUGUGGCCCUCCCUGCUGGGCAGAGGAGGGCAUGGACCUUGGCGCUGCCUGUGGGUGAUGCCUGGGGUCCUGGCAGGGCGCCAAGGGCAGGGUGGUGAACAGCAGCCCGGAGCUUGAGCAGGCUCUGUCCCCGGACCUGCUGCCCAACUGUAUCGUCACCCUGACUCUGAGCAACAAAAGUUAUACUGAGGUGAAGAACGGGUUCGUUUUCUGGAUCAAGCCUCCUCAAAAGACGCCCCUCCCCCAGGAGACACGGACCGUGCCGCGGCCAGAGACCAUGUUGAUGUCUGUGAUUCGUGUUACUGCCGUAGGCCGUGUUCAUGUCCUCAAUCUAUGCUAUCACCAGAAACCUUGUUGAAGUCCUGUGUGGUCUGUGUUUCCGGAGACCAUGUUGAAGUCUGUGCUCUGUGCUGCUGCCUCCAGAAACCAUGUUGAAGUUCAUAUUCUGUGCAGCUGCCAGCUGGUAGCCCCCUACCUGGACCCCUCGCCCGGAAAAAAAAAAAAGAGAAAAGGAGAAAAGAUGCUGAUAAAGAUGCUGAAGUGUAACUCUUCUCAGCUGAUGGCUUCCAGCCGGGGUGGGAGUAGGGGUGGAAAGGCCUCAGGUAUCUUUAGGGGGCUGGCCAUUCAGAGUCUGACCAUGUUUCAAGGAGUGUCUGUGCAACACAAGUUAAACCUGGUGAAAUUUUAUUUUGGUGGGGGGAGGUGAGGGGCAAAGAGGGCAUGAUCUGGGUGAAUUGUUUGAAACUCCCAAACACUUAAUGAAAAUAUUAUGUUGGGGGGAAAAAAAAUCCUAGCACUGAGGAGGCAAAGACAGGCACAUCUUUGUGGGUUUGAGAUCCACUUAGUACUGUGUUUCAGGGUGGGGGGGGAUAUGUAAUUAGAACAUAUG
This 2174-nucleotide long non-coding RNA is filed under the name Mus pahari (shrew mouse). RNAcentral describes it as "predicted gene, 26761 (MGP_PahariEiJ_G0004495.1)". Lineage: Eukaryota; Metazoa; Chordata; Mammalia; Rodentia; Muridae. The record is from RNAcentral.